Molecule: ribosomal RNA, 253 nt
Filed under: uncultured bacterium
Lineage: Bacteria
Description: partial 16S ribosomal RNA
Rfam family: Bacterial small subunit ribosomal RNA
Source: RNAcentral
UACAGAGGUCUCAAGCGUUGUUCGGAUUCAUUGGGCGUAAAGGGUGUGUAGGUGGCGCCGUAAGUCGGGUGUGAAAUUUCGGAGCUUAACUCCGAAACUGCAUUCGAUACUGCGGUGCUUGAGGACUGGAGAGGAGACUGGAAUUCCUGGUGUAGCGGUGAAAUGCGCAGAUAUCAGGAGGAACACCGGUGGCGAAGGCGGGUCUCUGGGCCGAUACUGACGCUGAGGAGCGAAAGCGUGGGGAGCGAACAGG